AGAGUUUGAUCCUGGCUCAGAUUGAACGCUGGCGGCAUGCCUUACACAUGCAAGUCGAACGGCAGCACGGGAGCAAUCCUGGUGGCGAGUGGCGAACGGGUGAGUAAUAUAUCGGAACGUGCCCAGUCGUGGGGGAUAACGCAGCGAAAGCUGUGCUAAUACCGCAUACGAUCUACGGAUGAAAGCGGGGGAUCGCAAGACCUCGCGCGAUUGGAGCGGCCGAUAUCAGAUUAGGUUGUUGGUGGGGUAAAAGCCCACCAAGCCGACGAUCUGUAGCUGGUCUGAGAGGACGACCAGCCACACUGGAACUGAGACACGGUCCAGACUCCUACGGGAGGCAGCAGUGGGGAAUUUUGGACAAUGGGCGCAAGCCUGAUCCAGCAAUGCCGCGUGCAGGAUGAAGGCCUUCGGGUUGUAAACUGCUUUUGUACGGAACGAAACGGUCUGCUCUAAUACAGCGGGCUAAUGACGGUACCGUAAGAAUAAGCACCGGCUAACUACGUGCCAGCAGCCGCGGUAAUACGUAGGGUGCGAGCGUUAAUCGGAAUUACUGGGCGUAAAGCGUGCGCAGGCGGUUAUAUAAGACAGAUGUGAAAUCCCCGGGCUCAACCUGGGACCUGCAUUUGUGACUGUAUAGCUAGAGUGCGGCAGAGGGGGAUGGAAUUCCGCGUGUAGCAGUGAAAUGCGUAGAUAUGCGGAGGAACACCGAUGGCGAAGGCAAUCCCCUGGGCCUGCACUGACGCUCAUGCACGAAAGCGUGGGGAGCAAACAGGAUUAGAUACCCUGGUAGUCCACGCCCUAAACGAUGUCAACUGGUUGU
Molecule: ribosomal RNA, 820 nt
Filed under: uncultured bacterium
Lineage: Bacteria
Description: bacterial SSU rRNA
Rfam family: Bacterial small subunit ribosomal RNA
Source: RNAcentral